GUUUAUUGGAAGUGAGGUGUGUUGGAGAGAUCCAUCUCAGCCGCGCUCGAUUAACACUGCCUGCUUUACUGUUCAGCGUUACUGCGGCUGCCUGCCAGAGAGCUCAGUAACGCGGCUGCCGGGUUCAUACGCGGCGUUACCGGGACUCACUAACGGGGCGGGGGGCAAAUCAGCCCGGAGACGCAGGUCGGGACCGCGUCGGCACUUCAGCAUGGCAUCGGGGGAGCUUUACGAGGUAGAACGGAUCGUGGACAAGCGGAAGAACAAAAAGGGCAAGUGGGAAUAUCUAAUCCGGUGGAAAGGCUACGGGAGCAAAGAGGACACAUGGGAACCUGAGCACCACCUGCUGCACUGUGAGGAGUUCAUCGAUCAGUUCAACAGCCUCCGUCUGCAGGACCGCCGCUCCAAACCAGCCAAAACCAGAACCAGCACACAAGCGCACAGGGUCCGGGACAUGUCCAGACAUCAGGGAGAAGCUCGGAAAAAGAAAAGGACUAGCAGAGGAUCGCCGGGACCGGGUGUCCCGCAUAGACAGAGAAAAAUGAGUGGAGGGAAAGCGUCCGGGGACAGAACCAGCAAACCGGGGACUUAUAAGCGAGUGAACGCAGGGCUUCAAUUUGUUCCUCCUAUCAGGCGUCCUACAGACGGGCUACAGAACGGAGACACGGACGCCGUGCAUUACAGGACUACCGGCAGGACACAGAGCGUCCCCGGCAGCAGGGUGGAGAAGAUGAUGGGAGAGAUGGAGAUGAGCAGAGGGGCCGCACCGCUCCGGGACGAAUUAGGGUCGUCGCUCCUGAACGGAGACGCUCACUUACAAAGUUCGGCCAAACGGAAGCUGGCUGAGGACAAAGGCUACAUUUUCGACAAGAGGCUGAGGUACAACGUUCGGCAGAGCGAAGCCAAUUACAGAUUCAGGGACAUUGUAGUGAGGAAGGAAGAAGGUUUCACACACGUCCUGCUGUCCAGCCAGACAUCAGACAACAAUGCACUAACACCAGAGAUCAUGAAGGAGGUGUGUCGAGCUCUGGGCACGGCGGCGGUAGACGACAGUAAGCUGCUGUUACUCAGCGCAGUGGGCAGCAUCUUCUGCAGCGGCCUGGACGCCUCGUACCUGAUUGGCCGACUCUCCACCGACCGCAGGAAAGAGAGCAGCAGAAUCGCUGAGGCUGUGAGGGAUUUUGUAAAAGCCUUCAUCCACUUUAAGAAGCCCAUCGUGGUGGCUGUUAAUGGUCCUGCUCUGGGUUUGGGUGCCACCAUCCUUCCACUCUGUGACAUUGUCUGGGCCAGCGAGCGGGCCUGGUUCCAAACCCCAUGUGCUGCACUGCGCCUUACGCCAUCCGGCUGCUCCUCGUACACUUUCCCUCAGAUCCUGGGCGUGGCUCUGCUUCUUGUUCCCAGGCCAAUGAGAUGCUGUUCUGUGGGAGGAAGCUGACGGCGCAGGAGGCGUGUAGCCGAGGUUUGGUCUCACAAGUGUUCUGGCCGACCACCUUUAACCAGGAAGUCCUGCUGCGGGUGAAGGAGAUGGCGACCUGCAGUGCUGUGGUUCUGGAGGAGUCUAAGUGGAUGGUGCGCAGCAUCCUGAAGUCCAUGUUGGAGGAGGUGAAUGAGAAGGAGUGCCAGAUGCUCAAACAGUUGUGGUGCUCCACGAAGGGCCUGGAGGCUUUGUUCUCCUUCUUACAGAGUAAAGGUUACAGCGCCUGAACACGCUCAGCAUGACCGCAUCACCACCGCACCCACCUAGAGCCCACGAUGAUGUCAUGUACUGUGAAUGAAAUGAAUAUAAGCCAAGAAAUUAUUAUUAUUAUUAUUAUUAUUAUUAUUAUUAUUAUUAUUAUUAUUAUUAUAUUCCCGACUGUAUCAGAAGGGUUCUGUGAUUUUUCCGAGGAUGCUUCCAGACCAGCAUUCGACACACUGAGUAUUCUGUCACCUAACGAAAUGCCUUUAAAAUUGUCCUUCUUUGUCCUUUAUU
Tachysurus fulvidraco (yellow catfish) is the source of this 1972-nucleotide RNA transcript. It is a transcript of the gene named chromodomain Y-like protein 2, with no coding region annotated. The record is from RefSeq and is a predicted model, not a curated record. The transcript is spliced from 7 exons. NCBI's taxonomy places the organism in Eukaryota, Metazoa, Chordata, Actinopteri, Siluriformes, Bagridae.